UACGGGGGGAGCAAGCGUUGUUCGGAUUUACUGGGCGUAAAGGGCGCGUAGGCGGCCACCGCAAGUCAGUUGUGAAAUCUCUGGGCUUAACCCAGAAAGGUCAACUGAUACUGCGGGGCUAGAGUGCAGAAGGGGCAACUGGAAUUCUCGGUGUAGCGGUGAAAUGCGUAGAUAUCGGGAGGAACACCAAUGGCGAAGGCAGCUCGCUGGGACGUUACUGACGCUGAGACGCGAAAGCGUGGGGAGCAAACAGG
Molecule: ribosomal RNA, 254 nt
Filed under: uncultured bacterium
Lineage: Bacteria
Description: partial 16S ribosomal RNA
Rfam family: Bacterial small subunit ribosomal RNA
Source: RNAcentral